Molecule: ribosomal RNA, 437 nt
Filed under: uncultured bacterium
Lineage: Bacteria
Description: bacterial SSU rRNA
Rfam family: Bacterial small subunit ribosomal RNA
Source: RNAcentral
GUACGGAAGGCAGCAGUGGGGAAUUUUCCGCAAUGGGCGAAAGCCUGACGGAGCAACGCCGCGUGAGGGAUGAAGGUCUUCGGAUCGUAAACCUUUGUCUAGAGGGACGAUAAUGACGGUACCUCUGGAGGAAGCCACGGCUAACUACGUGCCAGCAGCCGCGGUAAUACGUAGGUGGCAAGCGUUGUCCGGAAUUACUGGGCGUAAAGGGCGUGUAGGCGGCUUUUUAAGUCGGACGUGAAAUCGAUGGGCUUAACCCAUCAAUUGCGUUCGAAACUGGAGAGCUUGAGGAUCGGAGAGGGCAGUGGAAUUCCCAGUGUAGCGGUGAAAUGCGUAGAUAUUGGGAGGAACACCAGUGGCGAAGGCGACUGCCUGGACGACACCUGACGCUGAGGCGCGAAAGCUAGGGGAGCAAACGGGAUUAGAUACCCUGGUAU